GAUGAACGCUGGCGGCGUGCCUAAUACAUGCAAGUCGAGCGAACGGGCGAGAAGCUUGCUUCUCUGAUGUUAGCGGCGGACGGGUGAGUAACACGUGGAUAACCUACCUAUAAGACUGGGAUAACUUCGGGAAACCGGAGCUAAUACCGGAUGAUAUUUUGAACCGCAUGGUUCAAGAGUGAAAGACGGUCUUGCUGUCACUUAUAGAUGGAUCCGCGCUGCAUUAGCUAGUUGGUAAGGUAACGGCUUACCAAGGCAACGAUGCAUAGCCGACCUGAGAGGGUGAUCGGCCACACUGGAAGUGAGACACGGUCCAGACUCCGACGGGAGGCAGCAGUAGGGAAUCUUCCGCAAUGGGCGAAAGCCUGACGGUGCAACGCCGCGUGAGUGAUGAAGGUCUUCGGAUCGUAGAACUCUGUUAUUAGGGAAGAACAUAUGUGUAAGUAACUGUGCACAUCUUGACGGUACCUAAUCAGAAAGCCACGGCUAACUACGUG
This 497-nucleotide ribosomal RNA is filed under the name uncultured bacterium. Its description in RNAcentral is "partial 16S ribosomal RNA". It matches the Rfam family "Bacterial small subunit ribosomal RNA", at positions 28 to 507 of the family's 1533-position model. The record is from RNAcentral.